GUUUUAAUAGUUUAAAAAAAACGCUGGUCUUGUAAACCAGAAAUGGAAAGUGCCCUUAAAACA
RNAcentral lists this transfer RNA (63 nucleotides) under Agrianome spinicollis. RNAcentral describes it as "tRNA-Thr". It matches the Rfam family "tRNA". From Rfam's summary of the family: Transfer RNA (tRNA) molecules are approximately 80 nucleotides in length. Their secondary structure includes four short double-helical elements and three loops (D, anti-codon, and T loops). Further hydrogen bonds mediate the characteristic L-shaped molecular structure. tRNAs have two regions of fundamental functional importance: the anti-codon, which is responsible for specific mRNA codon recognition, and the 3' end, to which the tRNAs corresponding amino acid is attached (by aminoacyl-tRNA synthetases). tRNAs cope with the degeneracy of the genetic code in two manners: having more than one tRNA (with a specific anti-codon) for a particular amino acid; and 'wobble' base-pairing, i.e. permitting non-standard base-pairing at the 3rd anti-codon position. Lineage: Eukaryota; Metazoa; Arthropoda; Insecta; Coleoptera; Cerambycidae. The record is from RNAcentral.